UCACCAUUCAGUUUGACCCUGAAUUUCUUCAGGGAUGGAGCAUGCUCCACCUCUCUGGGCAACCUGUUCCUGUGCCUCACUACCCACUCCACAGAAAACUUCUUCCUCCUAUUCAAUCUAAAUCUCCCCUCUUUUUGCUUGAAAACACUCCCCCUUGUCCUGUUACAUACACUGCUGAAGAGUCUGUUCACUUCUUCCUUAUAGCCCCCCUUUAAAUACUGAAAGGCCAUUAUAAGGUCUCUCCGGAGCCUUCUCUUCUCCGGGCUGAACAGCCCCAGCUUGCUCAGCCUGUCCUCAUAGGAGAGGUGUUCCAUCUCUUGAAUCAUUUUUGUGGCCCUCCUCUGGAUGCGCUCCAGCAGGUCCAUAUCUCUCCUGAGUACUGCGGACUCCACAUCUGGACACAGUACUCCAGGUGAGGUGUCAUCAGCGGAAGUAGAGGGGCAGGAUCACCUCCCUCAACCUGCAGUCCAUGUUUAUUUUGAUGUAGCCCACACCAGGUUGUACCACAUCAAGAAGAUACACUAGCUUGUUCUUUACAAGUUCAUGUAAAAGCAUGUACUUUACAUGUUCAUGCAAACACACCCAGAGAUGUAUGAGGAAGGGUUACCAAAAUAAGUUUACAACUGGUGAGGUGUGCGCUACUCUGACUUGUGCUAUAGUGUGUCCCAGAACCACGAGAAGCCACAGCAAUAUUGUGUGUACCUGGCAGAAGAACUCUGGAAAGCUAUGUCUUACAGACACCAGAUGAAGGCACAUCUUCUGGUCAAGUCUCAUCCCAGGAAAUGUCAUGCCCAUACACAAAUUCACUUCAUAGCUGUGUGGUUAUGAAUAAAGGAGGGUCUUCUGAAGGAUCUCUCUGUAGAGUCUCCUCUCAGACGUACGUCAGGGAUUCUUUCAGACCAACCCAAAACACAGGAAAUACUGACGUCCACCAUCAGGCAACCCUGGCAGUUGUGCUCAGGACCCAAGAAGAGCCUAAGUCUUGCACAGUUGUUGGACAUGGACUGAGCUCAGCCUCCCCUGAGGUGCAGGAGCUAAUUUGUCUGAUUCCAGGAAUAUAUGAGCUCCAGAGCAGUUGCAGAAAUGAGCAUCUGGUGCCCAGGUAA
This 1106-nucleotide long non-coding RNA is filed under the name Numida meleagris (helmeted guineafowl). Its description in RNAcentral is "lncRNA (ENSNMEG00000008636.1)". The record is from RNAcentral. Lineage: Eukaryota; Metazoa; Chordata; Aves; Galliformes; Numididae.